UACGUAGGGUGCAAGCGUUAUCCGGAAUUAUUGGGCGUAAAGAGCUCGUAGGCGGUUUGUCGCGUCUGCCGUGAAAGUCCGGGGCUCAACUCCGGAUCUGCGGUGGGUACGGGCAGACUAGAGUGAUGUAGGGGAGACUGGAAUUCCUGGUGUAGCGGUGAAAUGCGCAGAUAUCAGGAGGAACACCGAUGGCGAAGGCAGGUCUCUGGGCAUUAACUGACGCUGAGGAGCGAAAGCAUGGGGGAGCGAACAGG
Molecule: ribosomal RNA, 254 nt
Filed under: uncultured bacterium
Lineage: Bacteria
Description: partial 16S ribosomal RNA
Rfam family: Bacterial small subunit ribosomal RNA
Source: RNAcentral